UACGUAGGGUGCGAGCGUUGUCCGGAAUUAUUGGGCGUAAAGGGCUCGUAGGCGGUUUGUCGCGUCGGGAGUGAAAUCCACUGGCUUAACUGGUGGCUUGCUUUCGAUACGGGCAGACUGGAGGUAUGCAGGGGAGAACGGAAUUCCUGGUGUAGCGGUGAAAUGCGCAGAUAUCAGGAGGAACACCGGUGGCGAAGGCGCUGCUCUGGGCAUGUCCUGACGCUGAGGAGCGAAAGUGUGGGGAGCGAACAGG
RNAcentral lists this ribosomal RNA (253 nucleotides) under uncultured bacterium. Its description in RNAcentral is "partial 16S ribosomal RNA". It matches the Rfam family "Bacterial small subunit ribosomal RNA", at positions 524 to 776 of the family's 1533-position model. The record is from RNAcentral.